GAGUUUGAUCGUGGCUCAGAUUGAACGCUGGCGGCAUGCCUUACACAUGCAAGUCGAACGGCAGCACGGGAGCUUGCUCCUGGUGGCGAGUGGCGAACGGGUGAGUAAUGCAUCGGAACGUAUCCUGGAGUGGGGGGAUAACGUAGCGAAAGUUACGCUAAUACCGCAUAUUCUGUGAGCAGGAAAGCGGGGGACCUUCGGGCCUCGCGCUCUUGGAGCGGCCGAUGUCGGAUUAGCUAGUUGGUGAGGUAAAGGCUCACCAAGGCGUACGAUCCGUAGCAGGUCUGAGAGGAUGAUCUGCCACACUGGAACUGAGACACGGUCCAGACUCCUACGGGAGGCAGCAGUGGGGAAUUUUGGACAAUGGGGGCAACCCGUGAUCCAGCCAUGCCGCGUGAGUGAAGAAGGCCU
RNAcentral lists this ribosomal RNA (411 nucleotides) under bacterium enrichment culture clone ALO1_GLFRUDD03G5SHX. Its description in RNAcentral is "bacterial SSU rRNA". It matches the Rfam family "Bacterial small subunit ribosomal RNA", at positions 9 to 417 of the family's 1533-position model. The record is from RNAcentral.